CCUACGGGAGGCAGCAGUGAGGAAUAUUGGUCAAUGGACGAGAGUCUGAACCAGCCAAGUAGCGUGAAGGAUGACUGCCCUAUGGGUUGUAAACUUCUUUUAUAUGGGAAUAAAAUGUUCCACGUGUGUGAUUUUGUAUGUACCAUAUGAAUAAGGAUCGGCUAACUCCGUGCCAGCAGCCGCGGUAAUACGGAGGAUCCGAGCGUUAUCCGGAUUUAUUGGGUUUAAAGGGAGCGUAGGUGGAUUGUUAAGUCAGUUGUGAAAGUUUGCGGCGCAACCGUAAAAUUGCAGUUGAAACUGGCAGUCUUGAGUACAGUAGAGGUGGGCGGAAUUCGUGGUGUAGCGGUGAAAUGCUGAGAGAUCACGAAGAACUCCGAUUGCGAAGGCAGUUCACUGGACUGCAACUGACACUGAGGCUCGAAAGUGUGGGUAUCAAACAGGAUUAGAUACCCCGGUAGUC
RNAcentral lists this ribosomal RNA (460 nucleotides) under uncultured bacterium. Its description in RNAcentral is "partial 16S ribosomal RNA". It matches the Rfam family "Bacterial small subunit ribosomal RNA", at positions 338 to 795 of the family's 1533-position model. The record is from RNAcentral.